RNAcentral lists this long non-coding RNA (348 nucleotides) under Spirodela polyrhiza (greater duckweed). RNAcentral's name for it is "long non-coding RNA (SPOL_LNC000233)". Lineage: Eukaryota; Viridiplantae; Streptophyta; Magnoliopsida; Alismatales; Araceae. The record is from RNAcentral.
CACCAUGGAGGACCAAUUCUUCCGCGGGUACGAGGUCUGGACCACGCCGUCCAUCUUCACGGUCUCCUUGGGGGCGUACUCGUGGUGGACGCACAUGACGGCGUAGCGGUCGUCGGCGAGGGCGGCGAGCUCCGCGACGUCGGCGAGGUAGAGGAAGUCGCAGUCCACGAACACGGCCCAUCCUUGGUAGCCGGCGAGGUAGGGGGUGAGGAAUCGGGUGAAGGAGAACUCGGUGCUCUCGGUGGGGCCGCUCUCCCGCCAGAAGAGCCCCGCCUCGCGGAGCUCCGGCUGCCUGAUGGGGAUCACCUCGACGGGGAUGGACGCGCGCUUCAGAAUGGAUCGUCGGCA